Molecule: ribosomal RNA, 253 nt
Filed under: uncultured bacterium
Lineage: Bacteria
Description: partial 16S ribosomal RNA
Rfam family: Bacterial small subunit ribosomal RNA
Source: RNAcentral
GACAGAGGAGGCAAGCGUUAUCCGGAAUUAUUGGGCGUAAAGCGUUCGUAGGUGGUUUGACAAGUCUGGGGUUAAAGCCCGGAGCCCAACUCCGGAUCGGCCCUGGAAACUGUCAGACUUGAGCAAGGUAGGGGUUGCGGGAAUUCCCGGUGUAGCGGUGAAAUGCGUAGAUAUCGGGAAGAGCACCAGCGGCGAAAGCGCGCAACUGGGCCAUUACUGACACUGAGGCACGAAAGCUAGGGGAGCGAAUGGG